UACGGAGGGUGCGAGCGUUAAUCGGAAUCACUGGGCGUAAAGGGCGCGUAGGCGGUUAGUUACGUCUGCCGUGAAAUCCCCGGGCUCAACCUGGGAAUGGCGGUGGAAACGGGCUGACUAGAGUAUGGGAGAGGGUGAUGGAAUUCCAGGUGUAGCGGUGAAAUGCGUAGAGAUCUGGAGGAACACCAGUGGCGAAGGCGGUCACCUGGCCCAAUACUGACGCUGAGGCGCGAAAGCGUGGGGAGCAAACAGG
Molecule: ribosomal RNA, 253 nt
Filed under: uncultured bacterium
Lineage: Bacteria
Description: partial 16S ribosomal RNA
Rfam family: Bacterial small subunit ribosomal RNA
Source: RNAcentral